RNAcentral lists this ribosomal RNA (563 nucleotides) under uncultured bacterium. RNAcentral's name for it is "bacterial SSU rRNA". It matches the Rfam family "Bacterial small subunit ribosomal RNA", at positions 281 to 834 of the family's 1533-position model. The record is from RNAcentral.
GCGUAGCCGACCUGAGAGGGUGAUCGGCCACACUGGGACUGAGACACGGCCCAGACUCCUACGGGAGGCAGCAAGUAGGGAAUCUUCCGCAAUGGACGAAAGUCUGACGGAGCAACGCCGCGUGAGUGAUGAAGGUUUUCGGAUCGUAAAGCUCUGUUGUUAGGGAAGAACAAGUGCAAGAGUAACUGCUUGCACCAUGACGGUACCUAACCAGAAAGGCCACGGCUAACUACGUGCCAGCAGCCGCGGUAAUACGUAGGUGGCAAGCGUUGACCGGAAUUAUUGGGCGUAAAGGGCUCGCAGGCGGUUUCUUAAGUCUGAUGUGAAAGCCCCCGGCUCAACCGGGGAGGGUCAUUGGAAACUGGGAAACUUGAGUGCAGAAGAGGAGAGUGGAAUUCCACGUGUAGCGGUGAAAUGCGUAGAGAUGUGGAGGAACACCAGAGGCGAAGGCGACUCUCUGGUCUGUAACUGACGCUGAGGAGCGAAAGCGUGGGGAGCGAACAGGAUUAGAUACCCUGGUAGUCCACGCCGUAAACGAUGAGUGCUAAGUGUUAGGGGGUUUC